Molecule: RNA transcript, 2499 nt
Organism: Dipodomys ordii (Ord's kangaroo rat)
Lineage: Eukaryota; Metazoa; Chordata; Mammalia; Rodentia; Heteromyidae
Gene: Cdkl3
Gene name: cyclin-dependent kinase-like 3
Exons: 13
Source: RefSeq, a predicted model, not a curated record
GGGGGGGCGGUGAAGUGACGGAGAGGGACCCCGUGUUAAUGGUGAGGACUGGGGCCUCCACAUGCACCCUAGAGCCGAGGUGGCAGAGCUCCCACCGACCCCCGGGUUCUGUGGACAAGAACAUUAUUUCUUCCCCCCCAUGUUCCUGUAUUUCAAAGAAUUUAUUGAGUCUAUACCUUAUUCCAUGGACAAAAUUUCCUGUUUUCUAUAUUUAGAUUUAAAAGUAGGAGAUGAGUCUAUACCCUGUCCAGCUUCAAUCAAUAAAAGUGUCAAGGUUUAACGUUUUCCCUUUUUUAUUUUUUAAUUUUUUUUUAUUUUUUUAUUUUUCUGAAGUAGAAGCAAGGCUUGAAAAUGGAGAUGUAUGAAACCCUUGGAAAAGUGGGAGAGGGAAGUUACGGAACAGUCAUGAAAUGUAAACACAAAGAUACGGGGCAGAUAGUGGCCAUUAAGAUAUUCUAUGAGAAACCCGAAAAAUCUGUCAACAAGAUUGCCACGAGAGAAAUAAAGUUUCUAAAGCAAUUUCGUCAUGAAAACCUGGUCAAUCUUAUUGAAGUUUUUAAACAGAAAAGGAAAAUUCACUUGGUGUUUGAAUUUAUUGACCACACAGUAUUAGAUGAGUUACAACAUUAUUGUCAUGGACUAGAGAGUAAACGACUUAGAAAAUACCUCUUUCAGAUCCUUCGAGCAGUUGAUUAUCUUCACAAUAAUAAUAUUAUUCAUCGAGACAUAAAACCUGAAAAUAUUUUAGUAUCCCAGUCAGGAAUUACUAAACUCUGUGACUUUGGUUUUGCACGAACACUAGCAGGUCCCGGGGACAUUUAUACAGACUAUGUGGCUACACGCUGGUAUAGAGCUCCAGAACUAGUGUUAAAAGAUACGACUUAUGGAAAACCUGUGGAUAUUUGGGCUUUGGGCUGUAUGAUCAUUGAGAUGGCCACUGGAAAUCCCUAUCUUCCCAGCAGUUCUGAUUUGGAUUUACUUCAUAGAAUUGUUUUAAAAGUAGGCAAUUUGACACCUCACUUGCAGAGUAUCUUUGCCAAGAGUCCCAUUUUUGAUGGGGUGAUACUUCCUCAAGUUCAACACCCUCAAAAUGCAAGGAAAAAAUACCCAAAGCUUAAUGGGUUGUUGGCAGAUAUGGUUCAUGCUUGUUUACAAAUUGAUCCUGCUGAAAGGAUAUCAUCUAAUGAUCUUUUGCAUCAUGAAUAUUUUACUAGAGAUGGAUUUGUUGAAAAAUUCUUACCAGAGCUGAGAGCUAAAUUACUACAAGAAGCAAAACUCAAUUCAGUUGUGAAGACAAAGGAUAUUCCUAAAGAAAAUGAAUAUAUGAGAGAAGAAAGAAAAACAAACCUUAACAAUACAGUGAUAAAUAAUUCCCACAUUGGAAAGGAAACAGAAAAAGAGAAAAAGAGUAAGGACAUUAGAGUGAGGGUUUUUAAAAUCAAAGGAGGAAAAGGAGAUACCUCAGAACUGAAAAAGUUAGAAUAUGAAGGUGUUCAUCGUCAACAGGAUGCAGUUGACAAUGCUCAUGCUACAUCUUUAGAUACAAAACCUGUAAUCAUUGAACCACCAAACUCUGUCAAUCCCAGCACUAACACUAAUGGUAUGAAAGAAGAUCCAUAUGCUGGAGGUUGUAUGAUAAUGCCACCCAUCAACCUUACAAACAAUAAUUUCAUGGCUGCAAAUCCAAAUCCAAAUCUCCCUCACUCUAAUCCAAGGUUAGGUGAAAGAGCAAAAAAGAAACAAACUACUGGACAAGUUAUAUCUAAUACCAGACAAGAGGACACAGUUCCAACUCAAAACCAAAUGGAGAAGGGUGUUUUUAAUGAGCGAACAGGUCAAAAUGACCAAAUAGCAAAUGGGAACAAAAGGAAGCUGAAUUUUUCCAGAUGUGACAGGAAGGAAUUCCAUUUCCCUGAAUUGCCAUUAAUACAGCCAAAGGACGUGAAAGUUAAACAGAUAAAAAUGCUCAAGAGGGAGUCAAAGAAAACAGAUUCACCUAAAAUACCAACCUUACUUAAUAUGGAUCAAAGUCAAGAAAAGUAAAAGGGUGGAGAUGACCAUUGUGAGGAGAGGAAUUUGAAGAGGAACUGAUUUUUUUUUCUGGAAGAAAAGACAAUAGGAAUCAUGGAGGAAUCCUCUUCAAAAUUUGAGAAGUAAAUCUCUUUGCUGCAAGAGACGAAUAAUAUUUGGUGGCCUCCAAAAUGUAUACUACUUAGAUCUUGAUGCAGAGCCUAAUUGACUGGUCUCAGCUGCUGGACUCUUGAAAUUCAUUAUCACAUUUGAGUAAGGUCCGGAUUUCUCAUGUGUUAAUCUCUGCUAAAGACUUGAGUUUCUGAGGCCUAAAAAGGAAGUCUUGUUCUUCAGAAAUACAGCAUGCCCUCUGCCUUCCUUCUGUUCAGCCUUUCUUUCUUCUCAUAAGGGUCAGACCUGUGUUGCAAUCGUAAGAUUUCUAGCAUCCUCUGGCUCCCUUUUCAUUUUUCCUUACAGCAUUUACUUUAA